UACGAAGGGGGCUAGCGUUGUUCGGAUUUACUGGGCGUAAAGCGCGUGUAGGCGGAUUAGUAAGUCAGGGGUGAAAUCCCGGGGCUCAACCUCGGAACUGCCUUCAAUACUGCUGAUCUGGACUCAAGAAGAGGCAAGUGGAAUUGCGAGUGUAGAGGUGAAAUUCGUAGAUAUUCGCAGGAACACCAGUGGCAAAGGCGGCUCACUGGCCCGGUACUGACGCUGAGGUGCGAAAGCGUGGGGAGCAAACAGG
This 253-nucleotide ribosomal RNA is filed under the name uncultured bacterium. RNAcentral's name for it is "partial 16S ribosomal RNA". It matches the Rfam family "Bacterial small subunit ribosomal RNA", at positions 524 to 776 of the family's 1533-position model. The record is from RNAcentral.